UGGUUAAUUGUUUUGCUGCCAGUGUCUUGU
This 30-nucleotide non-coding RNA is filed under the name Mus musculus (house mouse). The record is from RNAcentral. Lineage: Eukaryota; Metazoa; Chordata; Mammalia; Rodentia; Muridae.